RNAcentral lists this ribosomal RNA (469 nucleotides) under uncultured bacterium. Its description in RNAcentral is "bacterial SSU rRNA". It matches the Rfam family "Bacterial small subunit ribosomal RNA", at positions 28 to 498 of the family's 1533-position model. The record is from RNAcentral.
GAUGAACGCUAGCGGCAGGCUUAACACAUGCAAGUCGAGGGGUAUGCCGAUUUAUCGGCAGAGACCGGCGCACGGGUGCGUAACGCGUAUGCAAUCUACCUUUCACAGAGGGAUAGCCCAGAGAAAUUUGGAUUAAUACCUCAUAGUAUAGCAAUUUCGCAUGAAACCACUAUUAAAGUUCCAACGGUGAAAGAUGAGCAUGCGUCCCAUUAGCUAGAUGGUAAGGUAACGGCUUACCAUGGCUACGAUGGGUAGGGGUCCUGAGAGGGAGAUCCCCCACACUGGUACUGAGACACGGACCAGACUCCUACGGGAGGCAGCAGUGAGGAAUAUUGGACAAUGGGCGCAGGCCUGAUCCAGCCAUGCCGCGUGCAGGAAGAAGGGUCCUAUGGAUUGUAAACUGCUUUUAUACAAGAAGAAACAUCCCUCGUGAGGGAACUUGACGGUACUGUAUGAAUAAGGACCGGCU